Molecule: long non-coding RNA, 1036 nt
Organism: Lathyrus oleraceus (garden pea)
Lineage: Eukaryota; Viridiplantae; Streptophyta; Magnoliopsida; Fabales; Fabaceae
Exons: 2
Source: RefSeq, a predicted model, not a curated record
CUGACUUUAAAAUAUAAUAUCACAACUACAUAACUCUAAUUAAAACCUUUAUUUUGAACAUUAAAACAUAUGAUAAUCCCCCCUCCUAGACAACCGAUUCUCUCUGAACAAAAAUGAACUCACCCUUUCUCUCUUCUCCGAUUUCCUUUCUCUCUCUCCAAUAUUUUCAAACAAAAUAAAACCUCAGAUCUCUCUCUAAUGUCUUCGAUCAAAAUGGCUGGAGAAGGAUGGCGGUCGGAGGAGGCGCCACCACUUUCUCUGGCGCUCGAAUGCCUCUGACCUCCUUACACCCAACACAAACCCAAUCACCUUUUUAAAUAUGGAUCCACAUCUAUCUCUUUCUACAUUGUUACCCGUUUAUUCAGAUCCGAAUCUCAAACUUAACUCUUUCAAACCUAGAAAUACAGUUUACCCUUAGAAAAACAACAAAAUGGUAUUUGGAAUUUGAUGCAGAAAACAGGGAGCAUCACACAACAGAUUUCCAUGGAAGAAAAAAAGUCAAAGUUCCUUUUGCACAUAUUCAUAAAACAAGAGUCCGCCAGAAAGAAGAAAAUACAACAAGAAUAUAGUCAGACGGUCCAAUUCUAACAUUUUGAAAUACAAGGAUGAGAAAAUGUAGAUCGAAAUUUACAGACAUGGUCUGUUUUCAGGUGUUGCAUUUUGAUCGUGAUUGGCCUUGGGGAGCCUGAUCUUUCAUGACAUAAAAAUUUAAAAUGGUGUUGUCUUAGGACUUUUUUUUGGUGACUUCUGUUGACUGGUUUUUUGAGUUCUGCAGGUUGCAUUAUGUUUAUCAGAAUAUAGUCUUGUAAUUUCUUGGGGUGUAGGCGGUGAUAGUGAUCAAGUGAUAUACAUAUUCAACUUUGAAGAUUUUUCUUGUAAUAAAAUUAUGUUUUUGGAUCAUAAGCUAGAAUUUGUAUAGAUCAUAGGACUUAUUAACACAGUUUGUAUGUUUGUGCCUUUAAUAAUGAAGUUUUAACUCAGGCCUUAUGGUUCCUCCAUAAAAUAAAAAAAUGGUGAUUCAACCCUUUAAUCCAAA